CCAAUAGCGUAUAUUAAAGUUGUUGCAGUUAAAAAGCUCGUAGUUGAAUUUCGGGGUUAGUACGCUGGUCGUGCCUUCGGUAUGUACUGGUGUUUCCGAUUCCUACCUUCUGAAGAACCGUCAUGUCAUUAAUUUGGUGUGGCGGGGAAUCAGGACUGUUACUUUGAAAAAAUUAGAGUGUUUAAAGCAGGCUCGCGCUUGAAUACAUUAGCAUGGAAAAAUGAAAUAGGACGUUCGAUCCUAUUUUGUUGGUUUCUAGGAUUGACGUAAUGAUUAAUAGGGAUAGUUGGGGGCAUUAGUAUUCAAUUGUCAGAGGUGAAAUUCUUGGAUUUAUUGAAGACUAACUACUGCGAAAGCAUUUGCCAAGGAUGUUUUCAUUAAUCAAGAACGAAAGUUAGGGGAUCGAAGACGAUCAGAUACCGUCGUAGUCUUAACCAUAAACUAUGCCGACUAGGGAUCGGAUGAUGUUAAUUUUUUAAUGACUCAUUCGGCGCCUUACG
RNAcentral lists this ribosomal RNA (500 nucleotides) under uncultured Glomeromycotina. Its description in RNAcentral is "partial small subunit ribosomal RNA". It matches the Rfam family "Eukaryotic small subunit ribosomal RNA", at positions 591 to 1092 of the family's 1831-position model. Lineage: Eukaryota; Fungi; Glomeromycota. The record is from RNAcentral.